UAGCAAUACACGAGUGGCGGACGGGUGAGUAACGCGUGGGAACCUGCCCAAUGGUAGGGAAUAACUGCGGGAAACUGCAGCUAAUACCCUAUGCUCCUACGGGGGAAAGAUUAUCGCCAUGGAGGGGCCCGCGUCGGAUUAGCUAGUUGGCGGGGUAAUGGCCCACCAAGGCUACGAUCCGUAGCUGGUCUGAGAGGAUGAUCAGCCACACUGGGACUGAGAUACGGCCCAGACUCCUACGGGAGGCAGCAGUGGGGAAUAUUGGACAAUGGGGGAAACCCUGAUCCAGCAAUGCCGCGUGAGUGAAGAAGGCCUUAGGGUUGUAAAGCUCUUUCGGCGGGGACGAUGGUGACGGUACCCGCAGAAGAAGCCCCGGCUAACUUCGUGCCAGCAGCCGCGGUAAUACGAAGGGGGCUAGCGUUGUUCGGAAUCACUGGGCGUAAAGGGCGCGUAGGCGGCGCGACAAGUCAGGCGUGAAAGCCCCGGGCUCAACCCGGGAAUUGCGCUUGAUACUGUCGUGCUUGAGGCCGGGAGAGGAUGGCGGAAUUCCCAGUGUAGAGGUGAAAUUCGUAGAUAUUGGGAAGAACACCGGUGGCGAAGGCGGCCAUCUGGACCGGUUCUGACGCUGAGGCGCGAAAGCGUGGGGAGCAAACAGGAUUAGAUACCCUGGUAGUC
RNAcentral lists this ribosomal RNA (675 nucleotides) under uncultured bacterium. Its description in RNAcentral is "bacterial SSU rRNA". It matches the Rfam family "Bacterial small subunit ribosomal RNA", at positions 81 to 795 of the family's 1533-position model. The record is from RNAcentral.